Molecule: ribosomal RNA, 255 nt
Filed under: uncultured bacterium
Lineage: Bacteria
Description: partial 16S ribosomal RNA
Rfam family: Bacterial small subunit ribosomal RNA
Source: RNAcentral
UACGUAGGGUGCAAGCGUUAAUCGGAAUUACUGGGCGUAAAGCGUGCGCAGGCGGUUGUGCAAAACAGAUGUGAAAUCCCCGGGCUCAACCUGGGAAUUGCAUUUGUGACUGCACGGCUAGAGUGUGUCAGAGGGGGGGUAGAAUUCCACGUGUAGCAGUGAAAUGCGUAGAGAUGUGGAGGAAUACCGAUGGCGAAGGCAGCCCCCCUGGGAUAACACUGACGCUCAUGCACGAAAGCGUGGGGAGCAAACAGG